GUGGGCUGGGAUCACGCAUUCGAGAUGCAGCGGAGCCUCGGCCGACGUCGAGGUUACACGCUUAUUUGGUGGGCAGCAGGGCCAUGGCUCAUGCGUGACCCUCCAUGCUGCCCCCGAUCUCUCUCUCUCUCUUCAGGGCCAUAGCUUAAGAUAUCUAUCUAUCUUUGGAUUGCUGGAUGGGCUAAACUCUUCAGCCAGCUCUCGUGGAGUGGUCCCAGCUUCGCCACCACACACUCACACACCCCCUACGACUAUGAGGAGGACUCUCCGAGCUUGACUACGGCGACCUUUGCACUAGAUCCGGCCGGUGCAAGUGGGAUUCUUUCACCGUUGCCGAGAGUGACUUCCUCCUCCUCCUCCUCCUCGUCGUCGUCGUCGUUCCUGGUCAAUUGUACUUCUUUCUA
Molecule: long non-coding RNA, 404 nt
Organism: Physcomitrium patens
Lineage: Eukaryota; Viridiplantae; Streptophyta; Bryopsida; Funariales; Funariaceae
Source: RefSeq, a predicted model, not a curated record